CCUACGGGAGGCAGCAGUGAGGAAUAUUGGGCAAUGGGCGUAAGCCUGAACCAGCCAAGUCGCGUGAGGGAUGAAGGUUCUAUAGAUUGUAAACCUCGUGUAUAAGGGAAUAAAGUGUGGGACGUGUCCUGUGUUGUAUGUACCUUAUGAAUAAGGAUCGGCUAACUCCGUGCCAGCAGCCGCGGUAAUACGGAGGAUCCGAGCGUUAGCCGGAUUUAUUGGGGUUAAAGGGUGCGUAGGCGGCCUUUUAAGUCAGCGGUUAAAGUCUGUGGCUCAACCCUAGACUUGCCGUUGAAACUGGUAGGCUUGAGUAUGUUUGAGGCAGGCGGCAUGCGUGGUGUAGCGG
Molecule: ribosomal RNA, 346 nt
Filed under: uncultured bacterium
Lineage: Bacteria
Description: partial 16S ribosomal RNA
Rfam family: Bacterial small subunit ribosomal RNA
Source: RNAcentral